AUACGGAGGGUGCAAGCGUUACUCGGAAUCACUGGGCGUAAAGGACGCGUAGGCGGGAUGCCAAGUCUGAUGUGAAAUCCUACAGCUCAACUGUAGAACUGCAUUGGAAACUGGUAACCUCGAGUAUGGGAGGGGGAGAUGGAAUUAGUGGUGUAGGGGUAAAAUCCGUAGAUAUCACUAGGAAUACCUAAAGCGAAGGCGAUCUCCUGGAACAAUACUGACGCUAAGGCGUGAAAGCGUGGGGAGCAAACGGGAUUAGAAACCCCUGUAGUCC
This 274-nucleotide ribosomal RNA is filed under the name uncultured bacterium. Its description in RNAcentral is "partial 16S ribosomal RNA". It matches the Rfam family "Bacterial small subunit ribosomal RNA", at positions 523 to 796 of the family's 1533-position model. The record is from RNAcentral.